GAUGUGCCCAGAUGGGAUUAGCUAGUAGGUGGGGUAACGGCUCACCUAGGCGACGAUCCCUAGCUGGUCUGAGAGGAUGACCAGCCACACUGGAACUGAGACACGGUCCAGACUCCUACGGGAGGCAGCAGUGGGGAAUAUUGCACAAUGGGCGCAAGCCUGAUGCAGCCAUGCCGCGUGUAUGAAGAAGGCCUUCGGGUUGUAAAGUACUUUCAGCGGGGAGGAAGGCGAUAAGGUUAAUAACCUUGUCGAUUGACGUUACCCGCAGAAGAAGCACCGGCUAACUCCGUGCCAGCAGCCGCGGUAUACGGAGGGUGCAAGCGUUAAUCGGAAUUACUGGGCGUAAAGCGCACGCAGGCGGUCUGUCAAGUCGGAUGUGAAAUCCCCGGGCUCAACCUGGGAACUGCAUUCGAAACUGGCAGGCUAGAGUCUUGUAGAGGGGGGUAGAAUUCCAGGUGUAGCGGUGAAAUGCGUAGAGAUCAGGAGGAAUACCGGUGGCGAAGGCGGCCCCCUGGACAAAGACUGACGCUCAGGUGCGAAAGCGUGGGGAGCAAACAGGAUUAGAUACCCUGGUAGUCCACGCC
This 584-nucleotide ribosomal RNA is filed under the name uncultured bacterium. Its description in RNAcentral is "bacterial SSU rRNA". It matches the Rfam family "Bacterial small subunit ribosomal RNA", at positions 224 to 801 of the family's 1533-position model. The record is from RNAcentral.